Molecule: ribosomal RNA, 776 nt
Filed under: uncultured Neocallimastigales
Lineage: Eukaryota; Fungi; Neocallimastigomycota; Neocallimastigomycetes; Neocallimastigales
Description: partial large subunit ribosomal RNA
Rfam family: Eukaryotic large subunit ribosomal RNA
Source: RNAcentral
UAUGUGAUCGUCUCUCGCAUAUCAAUAAGCGGAGGAAAAGAAACUAACAAGGAUUCCCCUAGUAACGGCGAGUGAAGCGGGAAGAGCUCAAAUUUGAAAUCUUAAAGGGUUUCCCUUUAACGAAUUGUAGUUUAAAGAAGUGUUUUCUGUUGAGGUUUUGGUAAAAGUUCUUUGGAAUAGGACAUCAUAGAGGGUGAGAAUCCCGUAUUUGACCUUUACUUUCAACUUUGUGAUACACUUUCAAAGAGUCGGAUUGUUUGGGAAUGCAGUCCAAAAUGGGUGGUAAAUUUCAUCUAAAGCUAAAUAUUGGCGAGAGACCGAUAGCGAACAAGUACCGUGAGGGAAAGAUGAAAAGAACUUUGAAAAGAGAGUUAAACAGUACGUGAAAUUGUCAAAAGGGAAGCGUUUGACACCAGUGCUGUUUUUCUGAAAAUCAAUUAAAGAACUGUUUAUGCUAAGCUGUUUAGACUUUAUCAGCUAAUCUGUUUAGUUUUGAGCUUUUCUUUAAUGCACUUUUCAGUUAACAAGUCAACAUCAAUUUCUUUUGCUGUAAAAAAGCUUGAGGAAGGUGGCUUGAGAUUCGUCUUAAGUGUUUAUAGCCUCUUGCCUAUGCAGUCGGAGAGAUUGAGGUCUGCAGCGUAGAUCCUUCGGGGCUAAAUGCAUUUGUGCUAAGUUAUAGCAUUUUAUAGACAACUUGUUGACUAUGAUUUGUCUUGUAGCUUACUCGCUUAUGUUAUUUUACCUACGCUUAGGAUGUUGAACGCGCACAGAGUCUC